RNAcentral lists this ribosomal RNA (408 nucleotides) under uncultured bacterium. RNAcentral's name for it is "partial 16S ribosomal RNA". It matches the Rfam family "Bacterial small subunit ribosomal RNA", at positions 29 to 526 of the family's 1533-position model. The record is from RNAcentral.
AGUGAACGCUGGCGGCGUGCCUAAUACAUGCAAGUCGAACGGAGUGGCGCACGGGUGAGUAAUGUAUAGCUAAUCUGCCCUACACUAGUGGACAACAGUUGGAAGAGACUGCUAAUACUCUAUAGUGUAGGAUGAGGCUAUAUUGUAUCAGCUAGUUGGUGAGUUAAUGGCGCACCAAGGCUAUGACGCAUAACUGGUCUGAGAGGAGGAUCAGUCACAAGGGAACUGAGACACGGGACAGACUCCGACGGGAGGGAGAAGUAGGGAAUAUUGCGCAAUGGGGGAAACCCUGAAGCAGCAACGCCGCGUGGAGGAUGACACUUUUCGGAGCGUAAACUCCUGUUGUUAGGGAAGCGGUACCUAACGAAUAAGCACCGGCUAACUCCGUGCCAGCAGCCGCGGUAAUAC